UAGGACGUUUGACUCCUGGCUCAGGACGAACGCUGGCGGCGUGCUUAACACAUGCAAGUCGAACGGAAAGGCCCUGGCUUUUGUGGGGUGCUCGAGUGGCGAACGGGUGAGUAACACGUGAGUAACCUGCCCUUGACUUUGGGAUAACUUCAGGAAACUGGGGCUAAUACCGGAUAGGAGCUCCUGCUGCAUGGUGGGGGUUGGAAAGUUUCGGCGGUUGGGGAUGGACUCGCGGCUUAUCAGCUUGUUGGUGGGGGUAGUGGCUUACCAAGGCUUUGACGGGUAGCCGGCCUGAGAGGGUGACCGGCCACAUUGGGACUGAGAUACGGCCCAGACUCCUACGGGAGGCAGCAGUGGGGAAUAUUGCACAAUGGGCGGAAGCCUGAUGCAGCAACGCCGCGUGCGGGAUAACGGCCUUCGGGCUGUAAACCGCUUUCGCCUGUGACGAAGCGUGAGUGACGGUAAUGGGUAAAGAAGCACCGGCUAACUACGUG
Molecule: ribosomal RNA, 494 nt
Filed under: uncultured Propionibacterium sp.
Lineage: Bacteria; Bacillati; Actinomycetota; Actinomycetes; Propionibacteriales; Propionibacteriaceae
Description: bacterial SSU rRNA
Rfam family: Bacterial small subunit ribosomal RNA
Source: RNAcentral